RNAcentral lists this long non-coding RNA (241 nucleotides) under Mytilus galloprovincialis (Mediterranean mussel). The record is from RNAcentral. Lineage: Eukaryota; Metazoa; Mollusca; Bivalvia; Mytilida; Mytilidae.
CAAUAAUGUUCAACAAAGUAAGAUUUACAAAUAAGUCAACAUGACUGAAAUGGUCAAUUGACCCCCUAAGGAGUUAUUGUCCUUUAUAGUCAAUUUUUAACAAUUUUCAUAAAAUUUGUAAAUUUUUACUAACAUUUUCCACUGAAACUACCGGGCCAAGUCCAUUAUAAAAAGAGAUAAUUGUAAGCAGCAAGAAUGUUCAGUAAAGUAAGAUGUACAAACACAUCACUAUCACCAAAAC